CCUAUUUUACUGCCUAAAAGUGGCAAUACAGAGUUAUCAACACUUUCUUCUUAAUAUUUUAAAAAAUUGAAUGCUCAUCUAAAGAACGUCUUCUUUAAAGUCCAAAUUUCUUCUCCCGCAGCUUGGUUUGUAAGUACUGAUUUUUCAGGAUGUUUGAUCCUAAAUUCAGCAAAUAGAUCUGCCAUUCUCUAUAAAAUCCUCUAUAGAAGGUCUGUCUCAUCUAUAGAUUCCGGUCUCUUGUAUAACAUUCUUGCGGUCUAUUUUACGUUUUUCUUCAUCUCUUUCAGUGACAAAAAGAUAUUCUAUUAGUCAUAUUGAUACUGAGAUUAACAUCUUGUUUCAUAAGAAUCUUGACAAGUCAUCUUGGGCAGAAGACGACACUACUUAUUAUAUAUCGAGUAAAAUUGGUACUCGAUUGACUUUCAAAUAAUGCUACCAGUUUUGUUAGCAGUCUCAACUCUCAAGUGUCAACAAAAUUAAAGGUGACAUGCUCCAGUUUAAGAGGCACAUGCUCUACUUUUUUCUUCUUUUACGGUGGAAGUACGGUUAUGGAGAGCUGGGACAAGUUCAAGUACCGGGACAAGUUCAAGAUUUUGAAGACAAUUGCA
Long non-coding RNA from Daucus carota subsp. sativus, 608 nucleotides. RefSeq lists it as uncharacterized. NCBI's taxonomy places the organism in Eukaryota, Viridiplantae, Streptophyta, Magnoliopsida, Apiales, Apiaceae. The transcript is spliced from 3 exons. The record is from RefSeq and is a predicted model, not a curated record.